AUACGUAGGGGGCGAGCGUUGUCCGGAUUUAUUGGGCGUAAAGGGUUCGCAGGCGGUCUCUUAAGUUAGAUGUGAAAGAUCACGGCUCAACCGUGGUAAGCAUUUAAAACUGGGAGACUUGAGUUAAGGAGAGGAAAGUGGAAUUCCUAGUGUAGCGGUGAAAUGCGUAGAUAUUAGGAGGAAUACCAGUGGCGAAGGCGACUUUCUGGACUUAUACUGACGCUGAGGAACGAAAGCGUGGGGAGCAAACAGGAUUAGAUACCCUGGUAGUCCACGCCGUAAACGAUGAGUGCUAGGUGUCGGGUGUCAAAGCUCGGUGCCGCAGCUAACGCAUUAAGCACUCCGCCUGGGGAGUACGUACGCAAGUAUGAA
This 372-nucleotide ribosomal RNA is filed under the name uncultured bacterium. RNAcentral's name for it is "bacterial SSU rRNA". It matches the Rfam family "Bacterial small subunit ribosomal RNA", at positions 523 to 898 of the family's 1533-position model. The record is from RNAcentral.